GACGAACGCUGGCGGCAUGCUUAACACAUGCAAGUCGAACGGACUGAUUCCUUCGGGAUGAAGUUAGUGGCGAACGGGUGAGUAAUGUAUGAGCAACCUGCCUCUGUCAACGGGAGUAACAGUCGGAACGACUGCUAAUACGGUAUAUGACCACAGCACCGCAUGGUGCAGCGGUAAAAGAUUUUAUCGGACAGAGAUGGGCUCAUAUCCCAUUAGGUAGUUGGUGAGAUAACAGCCCACCAAGCCGACGAUGGGUAGCCGAGCUGAGAGGCUUGAUCGGCCACAUUGGGACUGAAACACGGCCCAGACUCCUACGGGAGGCAGCAGUGGGGAAUAUUGGGCAAUGGAGGCAACUCUGACCCAGCAAUGCCGCGUGAGUGAUGAAGGUGGUUUCAUUGUAAAGCUCUUUUCUCAGGAACGAACAAAUGACGGUACCUGAGGAAUAAGCCCGGCUAACUACGUGCCAGCAGCCGCCGU
Molecule: ribosomal RNA, 477 nt
Filed under: uncultured bacterium
Lineage: Bacteria
Description: bacterial SSU rRNA
Rfam family: Bacterial small subunit ribosomal RNA
Source: RNAcentral